AUUGAACGCUGGCGGCAGGCCUAACACAUGCAAGUCGAACGGUAACAGGAAGCAGCUUGCUGCUUUGCUGACGAGUGGCGGACGGGUGAGUAAUGUCUGGGAAACUGCCUGAUGGAGGGGGAUAACUACUGGAAACGGUAGCUAAUACCGCAUAACGUCGCAAGACCAAAGAGCGGGACCUUCGGGCCUCUUGCCAUCGGAUGUGCCCAGAUGGGAUUAGCUAGUAGGUGGGGUAACGGCUCACCUAGGCGACGAUCCCUAGCUAGUCUGAGAGGAUGACCAGCCACACUGGAACUGAGACACGGUCCAGACUCCUACGGGAGGCAGCAGUGGGGAAUAUUGCACAAUGGGCGAAAGCCUGAUGCAGCCAUGCCGCGUGUAUGAAGAAGGCCUUCGGGUUGUAAAGUACUUUCAGCGGGGAGGAAGGGAGUAAAGUUAAUACCUUUGCUCAUUGACGUUACCCGCAGAAGAAGCACCGGCUAACUCCGUG
RNAcentral lists this ribosomal RNA (490 nucleotides) under uncultured bacterium. Its description in RNAcentral is "partial 16S ribosomal RNA". It matches the Rfam family "Bacterial small subunit ribosomal RNA", at positions 30 to 507 of the family's 1533-position model. The record is from RNAcentral.